This is a non-coding RNA of Doryrhamphus excisus (bluestripe pipefish), 1022 nucleotides long. Lineage: Eukaryota; Metazoa; Chordata; Actinopteri; Syngnathiformes; Syngnathidae. The record is from RefSeq and is a predicted model, not a curated record.
CCUGGUCCGGUUAGCGCGGUGCCAAGGAGGUGUCCUCCAACACUCCAAGCCACAAAAGAAGCUUUAAUCAGCUCUACUUGCUAACGGCUGCCAAGUAGCUGAAUGGACUGUUUGCUCCGCAUUUAUGUGUCGCUUUCAUAGCUACACAAUACAUAAAAGCUUGCCACUGUCCCACCGUCUAUUUUAGCUGUUGAAUUUCAGUCCCACUACUUUAUUAGCGCAAAAGAGAACCACCAUACUCUGUAUAUAUGAUACAGUAUACGAUGAUACUGUAUUUUUCAAUGUGCUUUGCUGUUUCAAAACAGCGACACUGACUUCGAUGAAACUACAGUCCAAGGAAAUAACUUUUUGUGAGCAUUCAUAAAUAAUUGUUAUUAAUUUGGAAAAUGUUGGUGCUUUUUCUUUGUGGGAGGAAACACAGGCCACAAUUUUAUUAGCAUCAUCUUCCAUGCUGCUACUACUACUGGUGAGAGGAUCGUGCUAGCAGCAAAUUAGCCUCAUGAGCUAGCAUAUGCUAACAUGAAUGAAGGCACAGAAGUGAUGGCAUUGAAAGGCAAAUGUCACAGCCACGGUUUGGUGCUAUUUUGGUUUUUUAACAGAAUGAAUGAGAUGAGCAAAAUAACACAGAUGAACCGAAACCGCCAUUUUUAGUCGUGACGAGGAAGAAGCGGAACACGACCAUCAACUUCCGUGCUACUACUACUGGCGCAUUGACACACUUACGAUGUCCGCUCUCCUUGUGAUGGCUGUAUCUUCCAGCACAAGACGCGUGCUCCAGUCCUCAGCAUCUUUGGCUAUCUUUCAGCUCUAAAGGAGGAAGUGCCAAAAGAGGGGGUGUCCUUGAGUGUGUAACGUCUAUCCCUCUUUAUCCUUAAAGGCCCCCUGCCCUGCAGGACAGAACACACACACACACAUCUUCACCAGCUCCCUAUAAUCUGUUAUUAUGUGCUCUGCAAUUGUUUCAGUGCCUGCUUCCUGCAAGCCAACCUGUCAAUAAUGUCUUAUACUUGGUUUUAUUUCAA